UACAGAGGUGGCAAGCGUUGUUCGGAUUUAUUGGGCGUAAAGGGUCCGUAGGCGGUUUGGAAAGUCAGAUGUGAAAUCCCACAGCUCAACUGUGGAACUGCAUUUGAAACUUCCAGACUAGAGUAUGAGAGGGGUUAAGGGAAUUCCCGGUGUAAGGGUGAAAUCUGCAGAGAUCGGGAGGAACACCAGUCGCGAAGGCGCUUAACUGGCUCAUUACUGACGCUCAGGGACGAAAGCUAGGGUAGCAAACGGG
This 253-nucleotide ribosomal RNA is filed under the name uncultured bacterium. RNAcentral's name for it is "partial 16S ribosomal RNA". It matches the Rfam family "Bacterial small subunit ribosomal RNA", at positions 524 to 776 of the family's 1533-position model. RNAcentral also lists the same sequence under 1 other name. The record is from RNAcentral.